GGCGAACGCUGGCGGCGUGCUUAACACAUGCAAGUCGAACGGAAAGGCCCUGCUUUUGUGGGGUGCUCGAGUGGCGAACGGGUGAGUAACACGUGAGUAACCUGCCCUUGACUUUGGGAUAACUUCAGGAAACUGGGGCUAAUACCGGAUAGGAGCUCCUGCUGCAUGGUGGGGGUUGGAAAGUUUCGGCGGUUGGGGAUGGACUCGCGGCUUAUCAGCUUGUUGGUGGGGUAGUGGCUUACCAAGGCUUUGACGGGUAGCCGGCCUGAGAGGGUGACCGGCCACAUUGGGACUGCGAUACGGCCCGGACUCCUACGGGAGGCAGCAGUGGCGAAUAUUGCACAAUGGGCGGAAGCCUGAUGCAGCAACGCCGCGUGCGGGAUGACGGCCUUCGGGUUGUAAACCGCUUUCGCCUGUGACGAAGCGUGAGUGACGGUAAUGGGUAAAGAAGCACCGGCUAACUACGUG
Molecule: ribosomal RNA, 468 nt
Filed under: uncultured bacterium
Lineage: Bacteria
Description: partial 16S ribosomal RNA
Rfam family: Bacterial small subunit ribosomal RNA
Source: RNAcentral